AUCCAGUUGACGAGUCCAAAAUAGGACGAAAUGCACAUCCUGGAU
Molecule: non-coding RNA, 45 nt
Filed under: Trichobilharzia regenti
Lineage: Eukaryota; Metazoa; Platyhelminthes; Trematoda; Strigeidida; Schistosomatidae
Source: RNAcentral